AUGGACGCAAGUCUGAUGGAGCAACGCCGCGUGAGUGAAGAAGGCUUUCGGGUCGUAAAACUCUGUUGUUGGAGAAGAAUGGUCGGCAGAGUAACUGUUGUCGGCGUGACGGUAUCCAACCAGAAAGCCACGGCUAACUACGUGCCAGCAGCCGCGGUAAUACGUAGGUGGCAAGCGUUAUCCGGAUUUAUUGGGCGUAAAGCGAGCGCAGGCGGUUUUUUAAGUCUGAUGUGAAAGCCCUCGGCUUAACCGAGGAAGUGCAUCGGAAACUGGGAAACUUGAGUGCAGAAGAGGACAGUGGAACUCCAUGUGUAGCGGUGAAAUGCGUAGAUAUAUGGAAGAACACCAGUGGCGAAGGCGGCUGUCUGGUCUGUAACUGACGCUGAGGCUCGAAAGCAUGGGUAGCGAACAGGAUUAGAUACCCUGGUAGUCCAUGCCGUAAACGAUGAAUGCUAGGUGUUGGAGGGUUUCCGCCCUUCAGUGCCGCAGCUAACGCAUUAAGCAUUCCGCCUGGGGAGUACGACCGCAAGGUUGAGACUCAAAGGAAUUGACGGGGGCCCGCACAAGCGGUGGAGCAUGUGGUUUAAUUCGAAGCAACGCGAAGAACCUUACCAGGUCUUGACAUCUUUUGAUCACCUGAGAGAUCAGGUU
This 651-nucleotide ribosomal RNA is filed under the name Lacticaseibacillus rhamnosus. Its description in RNAcentral is "bacterial SSU rRNA". It matches the Rfam family "Bacterial small subunit ribosomal RNA", at positions 371 to 1013 of the family's 1533-position model. Lineage: Bacteria; Bacillati; Bacillota; Bacilli; Lactobacillales; Lactobacillaceae. The record is from RNAcentral.